RNAcentral lists this unclassified non-coding RNA (563 nucleotides) under Hevea brasiliensis (rubber tree). Lineage: Eukaryota; Viridiplantae; Streptophyta; Magnoliopsida; Malpighiales; Euphorbiaceae. The record is from RNAcentral.
AAAAUAAGUAAAUAUAUGGAGUCAUCCAUGCAAAUGCAUCGGCAAAUGAUAUGUAGUAAACUUUUACUAGAACAAUUCUUAAAUCCUGUCAGAAAUCACUACUACCAUCACAAAGGCAUAAGUUACAUUUCCAAAGAUCAAUAAUAUUCCACAUUAAUCCAUAGAGAAGAGUGAUAUAUGACAAAUUAAUUUAGCCUAAAUAUACGGUUAUUACUUGGUCAUCUUAAAAUUUUAUUACAGAUCAUCUGUUUCGCUGUAAAUCAAACAAGUAAGGUCAAUAUAAUCUUUCUUUUUAUAUCGAGAAUGACAUGCAAUUGAUCAAUUCAAAUGCUUACCCAUUUAUUUGUCAUUUUUUUGUCAAAUUGAAACAAUAGAUACAUUAAUAUUUUUCUUUGCACAGAUUCAGUUAUAAAUAAUUUUUCAAAAACAGAGUCACCAAUAACAAUCAAGAAUGUUUAUCUAACAAUAACAUCUUAUAAAAACCAAAGUUAACUAAAUUUCAUGGCUUAAUUUUGUACUAGUUGUUCUUCUAGAAAAUUAGAAAAACCAUGCUCAAAAUCGUA